RNAcentral lists this ribosomal RNA (506 nucleotides) under uncultured bacterium. RNAcentral's name for it is "bacterial SSU rRNA". It matches the Rfam family "Bacterial small subunit ribosomal RNA", at positions 501 to 1008 of the family's 1533-position model. The record is from RNAcentral.
CUACGUGCCAGCAGCCGCGGUAAUACGGAGGAUGCGAGCGUUAUCCGGAUUUAUUGGGUUUAAAGGGUGCGUAGGCGGCCUGUUAAGUCAGCGGUGAAAUCUAGGAGCUUAACUCCUAAAUUGCCAUUGAUACUGGCGGGCUUGAGUGUAGAUGAGGUAGGCGGAAUGCGUGGUGUAGCGGUGGAAUGCAUAGAUAUCACGCAGAACUCCGAUUGCGAAGGCAGCUUACUAAGGUACAACUGACGCUGAAGCACGAAAGCGUGGGUAUCAAACAGGAUUAGAUACCCUGGUAGUCCACGCAGUAAACGAUGAUAACUGGGCGUAUGCGAUAUACAGUAUGCUCCUAAGCGAAAGCAUUAAGCAUCCCACCUGGGGAGUACGCCGGCAACGGUGAAACUCAAAGGAAUUGACGGGGGCCCGCACAAGCGGAGGAACACGUGGUUUAAUUCGAUGAUACGCGAGGAACCUUACCCGGGCUUGAAUUGCAGAGGAAGGAUUUAGAGAUA